GCAUUACUGAGGAGUCUCACGAUAGGACGAAACGGCCGUCCAGUAC
Non-coding RNA from Schistosoma margrebowiei, 46 nucleotides. NCBI's taxonomy places the organism in Eukaryota, Metazoa, Platyhelminthes, Trematoda, Strigeidida, Schistosomatidae. The record is from Rfam.